Molecule: ribosomal RNA, 372 nt
Filed under: uncultured bacterium
Lineage: Bacteria
Description: bacterial SSU rRNA
Rfam family: Bacterial small subunit ribosomal RNA
Source: RNAcentral
UACGGAGGAUGCAAGCGUUAUCCGGAUUCAUUGGGUUUAAAGGGUGCGCAGGCGGGGAUGUAAGUCAGUGGUGAAAAGCUGCCGCUUAACGGUAGUCUUGCCAAUGAUACUACAUUUCUUGAGUAUGGUUAAGGUAGGCGGAAUGUGCAGUGUAGCGGUGAAAUGCAUAGAGAUUGCACAGAAGGCCGAUUGCGGAGGCAGCUUACUGAGCCAUAACUGACGCUGAGGCACGAAAGCGUGGGGAUCGAACAGGAUUAGAUACCCUGGUAGUCCACGCCGUAAACGAUGUUCACUCGCUGUUUGCGAUAUACAGUAAGCGGCUAAGCGAAAGCAUUAAGUGAACCACCUGGGGAGUACGAUCGCAAGGUUGAA